This 777-nucleotide ribosomal RNA is filed under the name uncultured Neocallimastigales. RNAcentral's name for it is "partial large subunit ribosomal RNA". It matches the Rfam family "Eukaryotic large subunit ribosomal RNA", at positions 23 to 645 of the family's 3401-position model. The record is from RNAcentral. Lineage: Eukaryota; Fungi; Neocallimastigomycota; Neocallimastigomycetes; Neocallimastigales.
AGAGAGAGACAUGCGCGCAUAUCAAUAAGCGGAGGAAAAGAAACUAACAAGGAUUCCCUUAGUAACGGCGAGUGAAGCGGGAAGAGCUCAAAUUUGAAAUCUUCAAGGUUCUACCUUGACGAAUUGUAGUUUAAAGAAGUGUUUUCUGUUGAAGUUUUGGUAAAAGUUCUUUGGAAUAGGACAUCAUAGAGGGUGAGAAUCCCGUAUUUGACCAUUAUUUUCAGCUUUGUGAUACACUUUCAAAGAGUCGGAUUGUUUGGGAAUGCAGUCCAAAAUGGGUGGUAAAUUUCAUCUAAAGCUAAAUAUUGGCGAGAGACCGAUAGCGAACAAGUACCGUGAGGGAAAGAUGAAAAGAACUUUGAAAAGAGAGUUAAACAGUACGUGAAAUUGUCAAAAGGGAAGCGUUUGACACCAGUGUUGUUUUCUCGAAAAUCAAUUAAAAAUGGCUCGAUUUUGUAUUGCUUGAGACCUUAAAAGCUCACUGUACAUUUUUCGUGUCUUUUUUAAUGCACUUUUCGUUUAACAAGUCAACAUCAGUUUCUUUUGUUGUAAAAGGAGUCAUUGGAAGGUGGCUUUCUUUUCGGAGAAAGUGUUUAUAGCCUUUGGCCUCUGCAAUCGGAAGAGACUGAGGUCUGCAGCGUAGACUCUUCGGGGUUAGAUACAUUUGUGCUAAGUUAUAGCUUUUUAUAGACAACUUGUUGACUAUAAUUAGUCUUGUAGCUUACUCGCUUAUGCUAUUUUACCUACGCUUAGGAUGUUGAAGUCAUCGUAUCGCGC